RNAcentral lists this unclassified non-coding RNA (306 nucleotides) under plant metagenome. RNAcentral describes it as "partial contains 5.8S ribosomal RNA, internal transcribed spacer 2, and large subunit ribosomal RNA". The stretch from base 1 to 105 matches the Rfam family "5.8S ribosomal RNA", at positions 50 to 154 of the family's 154-position model. The record is from RNAcentral.
GAAAUGCGAUAAGUAAUGUGAAAUGCAGAAUUCAGUGAAUCAUCGAAUCUUUGAACGCACAUUGCGCCCGCCAGUAUUCUGGCGGGCAUGCCUGUCCGAGCGUCAUUUCAACCAUCAAGCCCCCGGGCUUGUGUUGGGGACCUGCGGCUGCCCGCAGGCCCUGAAAACCAGUGGCGGGCUCGCUGUCACACCGAGCGUAGUAGCAAUCACCUCGCUCAGGGCGUGCUGCGGGUUCCGGCCGUUAAACAGCCUUACAAAACCCAAGGUUGACCUCGGAUCAGGUAGGAAGACCCGCUGAACUUAAGC